This 73-nucleotide transfer RNA is filed under the name Stegodyphus mimosarum. It matches the Rfam family "tRNA". Rfam says of the family: Transfer RNA (tRNA) molecules are approximately 80 nucleotides in length. Their secondary structure includes four short double-helical elements and three loops (D, anti-codon, and T loops). Further hydrogen bonds mediate the characteristic L-shaped molecular structure. tRNAs have two regions of fundamental functional importance: the anti-codon, which is responsible for specific mRNA codon recognition, and the 3' end, to which the tRNAs corresponding amino acid is attached (by aminoacyl-tRNA synthetases). tRNAs cope with the degeneracy of the genetic code in two manners: having more than one tRNA (with a specific anti-codon) for a particular amino acid; and 'wobble' base-pairing, i.e. permitting non-standard base-pairing at the 3rd anti-codon position. The record is from Rfam by way of RNAcentral. Lineage: Eukaryota; Metazoa; Arthropoda; Arachnida; Araneae; Eresidae.
GCUUUUGUGGUGUAGUGGUUUGUAUGAUCGACGUGUAACCGAGAAGUCCGUGGUUCGAUUCCCGGCGAAGGCG